AGGGGGUUCCUUGUGUAGAGCAUAUAAAGUUGUUCAGUGAUCACAUUUUGUCAAAUCAAUAGAUAAAGCAUUUUAUCUAUUUUAGGUGUUUGAUAUUGUUUUUGAAACUCUGAACUACCAUGCUUUGAACUACCAUGUUUUGAGGUCGAAUAGAACUUUAUUGCAAAAUCACUCCUAGUUACUAAAUGUUUUAUCAUUUCUUUGCAACCAAAGAGACUAGAGACAUUCUUUCAACAAGUAUUUA
RNAcentral lists this long non-coding RNA (244 nucleotides) under Physcomitrium patens. RNAcentral's name for it is "long non-coding RNA (PPAT_LNC010791)". Lineage: Eukaryota; Viridiplantae; Streptophyta; Bryopsida; Funariales; Funariaceae. The record is from RNAcentral.